CUCAAUUUAAAAUGACCUUUAAUUAAGGGCGCUUUCACAUAUCCUCUUAUGAUCUGGAUCCAGGAGCGUUUAGUUUUCUACCCUGAUCCGCGCUAUAAAGCAUGUGUGAAACACAAACUAACCCGGGCUGAAACGAAUAUCUUCUUAUGAGGAUAGCGUGAGUAGCGGGUCCAAGAUCCAGGACCAGAGUACCAGGAAUUGUGACAGUGGCAGAGCGAGUCGAAUGGAACUUUUUUACCUGUUGCACUCGCCAAGAUUCCUUCCAGUCAACGUGCAGUCUGAACCUGGCCUCUGUGGUUUACACAGUGAUGAUCGUGAAGAGCAUGGUGUACUGCUGUGGGCUCUCUCUCCUGCUGCACCACAGGAUUCUAGGAAGAGGACCCAGCACCUGAAGACCUCUAUGAGGAAAAUCAUUUAUGUGCUUUUUUACAUUGAUACAAUGUUGUUGUUUUUUUACAUUGAUCCAGCUUGCAUGACAUUUUCCUUGCCUAACACAGCCUGCUCAAAUUAACCAAGUUGAUCAAAAUAACCAUAUUAUUUUAGAUGAGGAUGGAUUUAAUUAUCGCUGCCUUUAUGAACAAAAUGUUGCAACAACAAUGGUUCUGUAAAUCAUUGUAAAAUACAUUUUUUACAGUUCCGUGCUGUUUUCUAUGAAUAAAGGUUACUUAAAACCCCCAAAACAUUGCAUCUCUUU
This 694-nucleotide long non-coding RNA is filed under the name Salmo salar (Atlantic salmon). RNAcentral's name for it is "lncRNA (ENSSSAG00000103940.1)". Lineage: Eukaryota; Metazoa; Chordata; Actinopteri; Salmoniformes; Salmonidae. The record is from RNAcentral.